RNAcentral lists this ribosomal RNA (780 nucleotides) under Vermamoeba vermiformis. Its description in RNAcentral is "SSU rRNA". It matches the Rfam family "Eukaryotic small subunit ribosomal RNA", at positions 213 to 901 of the family's 1831-position model. Lineage: Eukaryota; Tubulinea; Echinamoebida; Vermamoebidae. The record is from RNAcentral.
GGUGAUGAAGAGACAGAUGCGCGCGAAGCGCAACGCCUGCUCGAAGAUGCGAAGGAAAUCGCCGAGCAUGUAAUGCUGGUGGACCUCGCCCGCAAUGAUUUAAGCAGGUUGUGCACUGAAGUUACGGUUACCCAAUACCGGCAGGUGCAGUAUUAUUCGCAUGUGAUCCACCUCGUAAGCGAGGUGACCGGCAAAGUGGCGGAUGGAACUAACCCGUUUGCAUUGAUGGCCGUAACCUUUCCCGCAGGAAUAGGGUUCGAAUCCGGAGAGGGAGCAUGAGAAACGGCUACCACUUCCAAGGAAGGCAGCAGGCGCGCAAAUUACCCAAUCCCGACACGGGGAGGUAGUGACAAGAAAUACCAUUGUAAUGUCUCCUAGAGAGGCUUACGAUUGGAAUGAGUACAAUUUAAAUCCCUUAACGAGUAACGAUUGGAGGGCAAGUCUGGUGCCAGCAGCCGCGGUAAUUCCAGCUCCAAUAGCGUAUAUUAAAGUUGUUGCAGUUAAAAAGCUCGUAGUUGGAUUUCGGAAGGUCCUUAGCAGUCCGCCCCUUCGGGGAGCGGGCUGCUGGCCUCCUAUGUUCCUAACGGUCCUCAUCCGCGAGGGUGGGGAAUCAACCGCUAGGAUCGUUUACUUUGAGGAAAUUAGAGUGUUCAAAGCAGGCGUAACUCGCCUCCGAAUACGUUAGCAUGGGAUAAUGGAAUACGACUUCGGUCUUGUUUCGUUGGUUUCGCUUGGCUGAAGUAAUGAUUGAUAGGGACAGUUGGGGGCAUUAGUAUUUAG